Molecule: RNase P RNA, 410 nt
Filed under: Bacteroidaceae bacterium
Lineage: Bacteria; Pseudomonadati; Bacteroidota; Bacteroidia; Bacteroidales; Bacteroidaceae
Description: RNase P RNA component class A
Rfam family: Bacterial RNase P class A
About the family: Ribonuclease P (RNase P) is a ubiquitous endoribonuclease, found in archaea, bacteria and eukarya as well as chloroplasts and mitochondria.
Source: RNAcentral
GCAGUCGGACGGUCUGUCGCUGGCGACUCUACGGGGUCGAAAGAGGAAAGUCCGGGCAGCACAGGGCAUCCCACUUCCUAAUGUAGAAGCAGUCCGUGAGGGUUGAGUAAUGCAGAAGAAAAUAACAACAGCUUCGGCUGAAAUGGUGAGAAGGUGAGGUAAGAGCUCACCAGCGGCAUGGUGACAUGUCGGCUGUGCAUCUUGGGAGCUGCAAGUUCAUGUAAACCACCGCUACAAGGGUAGCCCGCCCGAUUGUUCGGUGGAGGGUAGAACGCUUGAGCCAUGGGGUGACUCAUGGAGUAGAUAAAUGACAGACUCAUGUUUUUAGUUGACAGUUGACAGUUGAUAAUUGACAGUUGACUGUUGACAAUUGGCAUGGACAGAACCCGGCUUAUAGCCCGACUGCUUUC